AGCAGUAGCCACGGGAACACAGAGGGUGCGAGCGUUAAUCGGAUUUACUGGGCGUAAAGCGUGCGUAGGCGGCUUCUUAAGUCGGAUGUGAAAUCCCUGAGCUUAACUUAGGAAUUGCAUUCGAUACUGGGAAGCUAGAGUAUGGGAGAGGAUGGUAGAAUUCCAGGUGUAGCGGUGAAAUGCGUAGAGAUCUGGAGGAAUACCGAUGGCGAAGGCAGCCAUCUGGCCUAAUACUGACGCUGAGGUACGAAAGCAUGGGGAGCAAACAGGAUUAGAUACCCCCGUAGUCCCUGUCUCUUAUAA
This 303-nucleotide ribosomal RNA is filed under the name uncultured bacterium. RNAcentral's name for it is "partial 16S ribosomal RNA". It matches the Rfam family "Bacterial small subunit ribosomal RNA", at positions 507 to 809 of the family's 1533-position model. The record is from RNAcentral.